RNAcentral lists this ribosomal RNA (253 nucleotides) under uncultured bacterium. Its description in RNAcentral is "partial 16S ribosomal RNA". It matches the Rfam family "Bacterial small subunit ribosomal RNA", at positions 524 to 776 of the family's 1533-position model. The record is from RNAcentral.
UACGAAGGGGGCGAGCGUUGUUCGGAAUUACUGGGCGUAAAGGGCGUGCAGGCGGUGCGGUAAGUUUAGCGUGACAGUCUCCGGCUUAACUGGAGAAGGCCGCUGAAAACUGCUGGACUUGAGGGCCAGAGAGGGACAUAGAAUUCCGGGUGGAGUGGUGAAAUGCGUAGAUAUCCGGAGGAAUACCAAAGGCGAAGGCAGUGUCCUGGCUGGCAACUGACGCUGAGGCGCGAAAGCUAGGGGAGCGAACAGG